UGCCGACGUGGUGGAAUUGGUAGACACGCUACCUUGAGGGGGUAGUGGGCUACGCUCGUGCGAGUUCAACUCUCGCCGUCGGCACC
This 86-nucleotide transfer RNA is filed under the name Bathymodiolus azoricus thioautotrophic gill symbiont. Its description in RNAcentral is "tRNA-Leu". It matches the Rfam family "tRNA". Rfam says of the family: Transfer RNA (tRNA) molecules are approximately 80 nucleotides in length. The record is from RNAcentral. Lineage: Bacteria; Pseudomonadati; Pseudomonadota; Gammaproteobacteria.